GACGGGACCGCACAAGCGGUGGAUGAUGUGGUUUAAUUCGAUGCAACGCGAAAACCUUACCCACCUUUGACAUGUACGGAAUCCUUUAGAGAUAGAGGAGUGCUCGAAAGAGAGCCGUAACACAGGUGCUGCAUGGCUGUCGUCAGCUCGUGUCGUGAGAUGUUGGGUUAAGUCCCGCAACGAGCGCAACCCUUGCCAUUAGUUGCUACGAAAGGGCACUCUAAUGGGACUGCCGGUGACAAACCGGAGGAAGGUGGGGAUGACGUCAAGUCCUCAUGGCCCUUAUAGGUGGGGCUACACACGUCAUACAAUGGCUGGUACAGAGGGUUGCCAACCCGCGAGGGGGAGCUAAUCCCAUAAAGCCAGUCGUAGUCCGGAUCGCAGUCUGCAACUCGACUGCGUGAAGUCGGAAUCGCUAGUAAUCGCGGAUCAGAAUGUCGCGGUGAAUACGUUCCCGGGUCUU
RNAcentral lists this ribosomal RNA (463 nucleotides) under uncultured Acidovorax sp. Its description in RNAcentral is "bacterial SSU rRNA". It matches the Rfam family "Bacterial small subunit ribosomal RNA", at positions 917 to 1381 of the family's 1533-position model. The record is from RNAcentral. Lineage: Bacteria; Pseudomonadati; Pseudomonadota; Betaproteobacteria; Burkholderiales; Comamonadaceae.